AGAUUUAGGCUUCGGUCUAAGUCUAGUGGCGAACGGUCGAGUAACACGUAAGCAACCUGCCCAUCCGCGGGGGACAAGCCACCGAAAGGUGGGGUAAUACCGCAUACGAUCGUGGGAGACAUCUUCUGCGAUGAAAGAUUCAUCACGGAUGGAGGGGCUUGCGGCCUAUCAGCUAGUUGGUGGAGGUAACGGCUCACCAAGGCGACGACGGGUAGCGGGUCUGAGAGGACGACCCGCCGGACUGGGACUGAGACACGGCCCAGACUCCUACGGGGGGCAGCAAUCAGGAAUCUUGCGCAAUGGGCGAAAGCCUGACGCAGCGACGCCGCGUGGGUGAGGAAGUCUUUCGGGAUGUAAAGCCCUUUUUCAGGGGAAGAUGAUGACGGUACCCUGAGAAUAAGCCCCGGCUAACUACGUGCCAGCAGCCGCGGUAAUACGUAGGGGGCGAGCGUUGUCCGGAAUUACUGGGCGUAAAGGGCGCGUAGGCGGCCCGCUAAGUCUGUUGUGAAAGACCGAGGCUCAACCUCGGGGUGUCAACGGAGACUGGUGGGCUCGAGUUUUGGAGAGGAGCGGGGAAUCCCUGGUGUAGCGGUGGAAUGCGUAGAGAUCAGGGGGAACACCGAUGGCGAAGGCACCGCUCUGGCCGAUGACUGACGCUGAGGCGCGAAAGCGUGGGGAGCGAACGGGAUUAGAUACCCCGGUAGUCCACGCCGUAAACGAUGUCGACUAGGUGUGGGGGGGAGUCACUCCCUCCGUGCCGCAGCUCACGCAUGAAGUCGACCGCC
Molecule: ribosomal RNA, 785 nt
Filed under: uncultured Actinomycetes bacterium
Lineage: Bacteria; Bacillati; Actinomycetota; Actinomycetes
Description: bacterial SSU rRNA
Rfam family: Bacterial small subunit ribosomal RNA
Source: RNAcentral